UCGCUCCUACCGAUUGAAUGAUCCGGUGAAUUUUCAAGAUCGAGGUAAAUUCGUCCGCAAGGAUGUAAUUUACUUUGAGAAUUUAAAUAAACCUUAUCAUUUAGAGGAAGGAG
This 113-nucleotide ribosomal RNA is filed under the name uncultured eukaryote. RNAcentral describes it as "partial small subunit ribosomal RNA". It matches the Rfam family "Eukaryotic small subunit ribosomal RNA", at positions 1676 to 1785 of the family's 1831-position model. The record is from RNAcentral.